Dreissena polymorpha is the source of this 227-nucleotide long non-coding RNA. RefSeq lists it as uncharacterized. The record is from RefSeq and is a predicted model, not a curated record. The transcript has 3 exons. Lineage: Eukaryota; Metazoa; Mollusca; Bivalvia; Myida; Dreissenidae.
UGACGAUGGAAAAGUCACAUGUUCUCAACGCGUAUAUCCCAAGAACCCAUGCACAUACAAAGAAAAAACCUAUCAUGACGGUCAAACUUUCAUAGACGUUUAUAGCGAGUGCAAAUGUGACGAUGGAAAAGUCACAUGUUCUCAACGCGUAUAUCCCAAGACCCCUUGCACAUACAAAAAAACAACCUACCAGGACGGGCAAACUUUCAAAGACGAUUGUAACGACU